This 303-nucleotide small RNA is filed under the name Histoplasma capsulatum. RNAcentral describes it as "hypothetical RNA". Lineage: Eukaryota; Fungi; Ascomycota; Eurotiomycetes; Onygenales; Ajellomycetaceae. RNAcentral also lists the same sequence under 1 other name. The record is from RNAcentral.
GGCUUACCAGGUUUAUUAGAGUUACAUCUCAGACUACAGCCAAGUCCUACGAUCAGAAAAGCGGCUCUGAUCAAGUGGUACAUACUACGUUCAAUAUAUCAUUUCGGUGAAUUGUUUGCAUGCUCGUGUCACCCCGCCAUUACAUGUCAAACGUCAGCAAGGGCAUCCGAAAGGCAUCGUUGAUUUGCAAUUUAUAUACACACAUACCAUAAAGACGCAUUUGCAGCACAUCGGUCUCCUGCCUCACUGAUAAUAGGCUGUAGCCACCCUGAGAGCGGGAAGGAAAGGCAAGACGAAAAGGCA